AUCACGGUAGUCUCUUGAGCGCCUUCCAGCAGUGCGUUAAGCGAUACGACUAAUAUCUGUCACGCGUGUUCUCCCAUCCCAAUCCAGGGUGAGAGCUUGCAGACGAUCAGCUGAUAAAGGACAGGCACAAACCUCCGAGAAAUCCCUGGAUGCUCCAGAUCCUUUCCUCAGAACAGAGCUUGAGAAUUCCUGGAGUGUCGAAGGUGGGCUUGAGUUCCCCUACCAGUCCUUGAGAGGGUGGCAUGAAGUCCCUAGACAUGAGGAUGGUUUAAAGUCCUGAACGAAGUGUGUAUGGACCAUGGUGCUAAGGACCAGGUUUUGUAACAACGAUAGAAGCCAUGACGACCCAAGAAUAAGCGCUGCGACGUCUACUAGCAACACGGCUUCUUAUACAGCAGCUUCUCGUCUGCCCCAACCCAGAAUAUACCCAGCUUAGAGCCGUGAUCUGCCCAGCACGUACAUGGACACUUUUCCUGAUUGAUUUUGACAGCAGAACUGGGCAUCACUAUGCUAAUUAAACAUCUGGGAUUAUUAAGUGAAAAUUAAUCUUCAUGGCAGGAGCCUGCAUUGGUUGAAUGUAACCCCCAUGAGAAUUUGAAGUCCUACUGCACUCUCUGCAGAUGAGAGCCCUUUCUCUGAAGGUAACUAAUUGACCUGACAGUCAGGCAAGAGGGGUUGAAACUACUAACCGAUUAAGCACCCACUUCUUCACCCUUAGAGGGAAAGAAAAUUAAAAAGGGUGAGUUUUUAAGAUUACUCUAGUACUGAAAACACAUGCACCCCUGCCUUGCACUAUGAAAUCACAGCAAGGUGCACAUUU
This is a long non-coding RNA of Mauremys mutica (yellowpond turtle), 820 nucleotides long. RefSeq lists it as uncharacterized. Lineage: Eukaryota; Metazoa; Chordata; Testudines; Geoemydidae. The transcript is spliced from 5 exons. The record is from RefSeq and is a predicted model, not a curated record.